RNAcentral lists this ribosomal RNA (440 nucleotides) under uncultured bacterium. Its description in RNAcentral is "partial 16S ribosomal RNA". It matches the Rfam family "Bacterial small subunit ribosomal RNA", at positions 338 to 795 of the family's 1533-position model. The record is from RNAcentral.
CCUACGGGGGGCAGCAGUGGGGAAUAUUGCACAAUGGGGGAAACCCUGAUGCAGCGACGCCGCGUGAGUGAAGAAGUAUUUCGGUACGUAAAGCUCUAUCAGCAGGGAAGAAAAUGACGGUACCUGACUAAGAAGCCCCGGCUAACUACGUGCCAGCAGCCGCGGUAAUACGUAGGGGGCAAGCGUUAUCCGGAUUUACUGGGUGUAAAGGGAGCGUAGACGGCAGGGCAAGUCUGGAGUGAAAUCCCAUGGCUUAACCAUGGAACUGCUUUGGAAACUGUGCAGCUAGAGUGCAGGAGAGGUAAGCGGAAUUCCUAGUGUAGCGGUGAAAUGCGUAGAUAUUAGGAGGAACACCAGUGGCGAAGGCGGCUUACUGGACUAUAACUGACGUUGAGGCGCGAAAGCGUGGGGAGCAAACAGGAUUAGAUACCCCAGUAGUC